AAGUUACAAUCUUUUUGUUGUUCUUUUGCAAGCUUUACACUUGGAAUCUUCUCUUGCUAUGAUGUCAAAAAGGUUAGAAUUGUGCUGCCUUUUGGAAAAGGUCUUUAGAAAUGAGUUAUGGCACUAAAUGCAUGGAGUAUCUGUGUUUCCCUUCAACAGGAACGGUUGGUCUGUGAUUGAAUCUUUUGUUAGAUUAAGCAUUCCUAUAUGUAAAUUCUGUGUGAUAAUUCUGCUAAAUAUCCUUGAGUUGACUGGUCAUUAUGUCAAGACAAAACUUGAUGAGCCCUAAGGAGAUUCUGACAUGCUCAUAGGGUUACUCGAGGGAUGGGAACAAAAAAAUACCUUUUUGGGUUUUUAUUAACGAGAUGUUUGGAAGUUAUUCUUAUAUGGAUCUAACUACGCUUAAAAGCAAGUUGUUAAAUAUACUGGAGCUUCUCGGACAUUUUGUCUUAGAUUACAGUGCGCUUUUGGACAGUUCUCCUAUUCAUAGUAUGAUUUAUAUUUCAAAGUCUAGGCUAACAGGGAGCUUUGACUUGAGUUCUUGUUAUGUGACUUAAACAUAGUGAUGAUGGUUUACUUGUUCAAUUAGGCAUGUAUUAAUUUCUAACAAUUUGCUUAUAGAGUCCAGUCUACAUAUCAUGUGCUGAUGCAUGAGUGCUAAUGAUACAAUAUAGGCUACAUAAGCAUGUAAUGUUAUGCAAUCUAAAUAGUUUCUUUCUAUCUGAAUGUAAUUAUGUGUCUGGAGCACAUCUGACAAGCAAAUGCUGAUCAUGUGGGAGAGAGAGAAUUUUGGAGGAAGACAGCCAUCACCAAAUUGCAAAAAUGGUAGUAGUAAAUGAAACAUUUUAAGACAGCAGCAGUAGGUGCUAGAUAGCAUUCCCAGUAUAAUCUUGAAGAGAAAAUAAACCAGUUAUUCCUCAUCUUUGUUCUUCAUUUGAUGCAAUCCCUAAUUGGUCUUUUAGAACAUGAAGCUGCUUCAUCCAGGUUAAUUUCAUCUCUUCAAGAAGCCUGAAACCACAGUAGGCAAUAUAUAUCAAGCUGUUUUUGUUAUUAUCAAAAUGUUUCUAUAUACAUAUCAAGUUUACCAACUUCCUAGAGUGGCACAGUGUCUAUAACAAGAUAUGUUGAAGUGACUUUACCUUUGCCUUUGUUGUUGUCAGCACUUUGUGUUCCAUUAAAAAUGUCCUGUUGGUAAUGUUUUCCUUUGCUUUGACAGGUAACACAGCAUGUUAGACAUUCAUAAACCUCAACCAAAGAGAGUUCUCACAAAGUUACCUCGCAAAAAGGCAAACCGAAAUAAUCAGAUCAUCAACUAGAUUCAAAUAGCAUGGACUAAAAUUUAGCUCCAACACCACUGGUGCUUACUUCAUGAGUUCAUAGUUCUGACCCACAAGAAAGACAAACUGGACAGUAGGCAGAAUAGAUGGAUCAGAGAAGACCAUUUAUCUGCAUGAAAUAAGAAGCUGAUGCUUCAUUGAUGACCUACACUGUCUCCAUAGGUCACUGUUAAGAAUCCAUCUGACAUCUAAUCGGAGGAGAACAAUCAAACCCAUAGUAUCCAAUGCCCUUACUGCAUUUGUUGUUUAUUAUGUCUAUUAUAUGAUUUGUAUCUGAACAUGGUGGAUGUUUGCAAGACAGCUUACUGUUUCUGCA
Musa acuminata AAA Group (dessert banana) is the source of this 1653-nucleotide long non-coding RNA. RefSeq lists it as uncharacterized. The transcript has 2 exons. The record is from RefSeq and is a predicted model, not a curated record. Lineage: Eukaryota; Viridiplantae; Streptophyta; Magnoliopsida; Zingiberales; Musaceae.